AACGUGUUUCUCCCCUUAGGGCUUUCUCAAGUGGAUAAAAGUUUUUUUUUUUUUUAUCCACUUGAGAAAGCCCUAAGGGGAGAAACGCGU
This is a non-coding RNA of Pelobates cultripes (western spadefoot toad), 90 nucleotides long. The record is from the annotation of a GenBank genome assembly. NCBI's taxonomy places the organism in Eukaryota, Metazoa, Chordata, Amphibia, Anura, Pelobatidae.